Long non-coding RNA from Neogale vison (American mink), 702 nucleotides. RefSeq lists it as uncharacterized. The transcript has 3 exons. Lineage: Eukaryota; Metazoa; Chordata; Mammalia; Carnivora; Mustelidae. The record is from RefSeq and is a predicted model, not a curated record.
GUCAGGGAGGUGGGAUAGAAUGUUCUCGAACUGUACACCAGCGGUUUGCCCACAAACGCCUGUUAAUGAUUGGACUAAAAGGAAGUGCAAACGGGACUCUGAGAUGAUUUUGGAAAAUCACCAGGCUAAGAUUCUCUGGAACAGGGCUGGGAAAGGAGAGAAAUCAGAACAUUUGAAUAACGUGAGUCAUCUAGCCAUCCCGGACUACUGCCAAACUGUUCCCCUUAAUAAAAAUACCACAAAGCUCAAAGAGGAUAAAAUAGGCAUGUGGCUCUAGCUAGAGAGCUAAAGGGAAGAUGAAGAUCAACAAGGGAAGUGCGAAGUCAAACCAGGGGAGGAUGGAAGUUUUCAUGCACAAAUGUCAGCGUGUCUCCGGAGUUCUGCAGUCCGAGUCUAGCUCCACACCUGCCAUGCUGAGGGGUUCUGUAGAUGUUUACUUAUUAAACUGAAUGUUCGAGUACGAAUGUCCUUUGAAGCAAUUUGGAGUUAGAGCUCAAGGCUUGUGUGGCCCGGGGAGGUGUGAUUGGGCACCUGCAUCAAGGAAAGGCCACGUGAGGACACAACGUGAAGGCCCCGUCUACAAGCCAGGAAGGGCACCCUCACCAGACUUGACCAUGCUGAUAUUCUGAUCUCAGACUCUGCCUCCAGAACAGUGAGAAAUAAAUGUCUGUGGUUUGAGCCACCUGGCGUGUGCCACUGUGU